This is a non-coding RNA of Podarcis lilfordi (Lilford's wall lizard), 74 nucleotides long. Lineage: Eukaryota; Metazoa; Chordata; Lepidosauria; Squamata; Lacertidae. The record is from the annotation of a GenBank genome assembly.
UGCCGGAUAGCUUAACGUGUAGAGCAUGAGACUCUUAAUCUCAAGGUCAUGGGUUCAAGCCCCACAUUGGGCAA